This 68-nucleotide transfer RNA is filed under the name Nautilus pompilius. Its description in RNAcentral is "tRNA-Gln". Lineage: Eukaryota; Metazoa; Mollusca; Cephalopoda; Nautilida; Nautilidae. The record is from RNAcentral.
UGUGGGGUGGUGUGGAGUGCACGAGAAGAUUUGGGUUUUUAAGUGAGGGUUCGGACCCUCUCUCACAA